RNAcentral lists this ribosomal RNA (467 nucleotides) under uncultured bacterium. RNAcentral's name for it is "partial 16S ribosomal RNA". It matches the Rfam family "Bacterial small subunit ribosomal RNA", at positions 28 to 507 of the family's 1533-position model. The record is from RNAcentral.
GAUGAACGCUGGCGGCGUGCUUAACACAUGCAAGUCGAACGGAAAGUCCCCUGCUUGCGGGGGUCCUCUAGUUGCGAACUGGGGAGUAACACUUGGGUUCUCUGUCCUUCACUUCGGGAUAAGCCUAGGACACUGGGUCUAAUCCCGGAUAGGACCACUUGUCGUAUGGUGUGGUGGCAAGUUUUUCGGUGUGGGAUGAGCUCGCGGCCUAUCAGCUUGUUGGUGGGUUAAUGGCCUACCAAGGUGUCGACGGGUAGCCGGUCUGAGAGGGGGCACGGCCACAAGGGAAAUGAGAACCGGCACACAGUCCAACGGGAGGCAGGAGUGAGGAGUAUUGAAUAAUGGGCGCAAGGCUGAUGCAGGGACGAGGCAUGGGGGGUGAGGGCUGAAGGCUUGUGGACUCCUAACGCUAGGUACGAGGCGUGUUUGUGACGGUACCGGGAGAAGAAGCUCCGGCUAACUACGUG